RNAcentral lists this ribosomal RNA (254 nucleotides) under uncultured bacterium. RNAcentral's name for it is "partial 16S ribosomal RNA". It matches the Rfam family "Bacterial small subunit ribosomal RNA", at positions 524 to 776 of the family's 1533-position model. The record is from RNAcentral.
UACGUAGGGUGCGAGCGUUGUCCGGAAUUAUUGGGCGUAAAGAGCUUGUAGGCGGUUUGUCGCGUCUGCCGUGAAAAUUCGAGGCUCAACCUCGAACUUGCGGUGGGUACGGGCAGACUAGAGUGUGGUAGGGGAGACUGGAAUUCCUGGUGUAGCGGUGAAAUGCGUAGAUAUCUGGAGGAAUACCGGUGGCGAAGGCGGCAUCCUGGACCGGCAUUGACGCUGAGUGAGCGAAAGCCAGGGGAGCAAACGGG